Molecule: long non-coding RNA, 5742 nt
Organism: Taeniopygia guttata (zebra finch)
Lineage: Eukaryota; Metazoa; Chordata; Aves; Passeriformes; Estrildidae
Source: Ensembl
GAGCCUGAACCAGCUGCUUUGAAGAGAUCUUGGGACUGAAGGACUGAGCUGAGGCAUUUCUAAGGCAGCUGAUAACAGAGGAAAGAGCAGAUCAUGGCACCAAAUCCUGCCCCGGAGCUGAGCAGGGCCCAAGGAGUGGCCCCGUGUGGAGGAGCAGAUGGAGCUCUGCAAACUCAUGCAGGUGGUAAAAUACUGACUGCCAUGAACUUCAUCAGGAAAAAAAAAGUAUAAAAGAGGAAAAAGCAGUGGUUUGGAAGCAGCUGGAUGGCAAACUGCAGGCUGGGAAUGUGUCUGCCAAAACCACCACAAGGAGAGUGGGGCAUAAAGGCAUUUGUGGAGCAUUCUGUUUGCUAAUUGCUCAUGGAAUUUCAGGUUGAAAGAGAAGAAGGGAAUCUACCAGGUGGCUGCAUCUUGAAAAACAGGUACAGAGAAAGUGGCAGGAACACGGAACGUCCUCUGAUCCCUGCUCUGGUACAACUAAAGCUUGAAUAAAGCCAUUUCCAGCUGGAUUUCCCCCAAGAUGUUAAUAUUGUGCUGGGUUUAAUGCUGACUGAAGCAAGGUAGCAAGCAGUUAUUGCAGGCCUGACAUGCCUGUUCUGCCAGGGAACAGCGUGAGCUUUCAACUCAGAAAACAAGGUGAACUUUGUUGGGUCAUCAAUCUGCUUUUGCCUGCCUUGGCCAGGCCUUGUCCUCCUGUCCCAUUUUGCAGCAGUCCUGUCUGUGGGAGAAGUACAACUGUGGGACGCCUGAUGAAAAGAGAUGGUUGAACAACUGGCCUUCAGCUCUGUCACCUUUUCUUGCUGCUGGCAUAAACAAAACACACAAAAAAACCCCACCCAAAAACCACAAAAACAAACGAACAAACAAAACCACCAAAAAAAGACAAAAAAAAUCCAAUGCAAAGAUAGUUUAUGUACAGCUCAGGAAGCUCACAGCAAUGAGUGUGUCUGUGAUUUAAUAACACAUCUACCCAAAAUGACACUUCUUCUAAUACUCACUGAGAAAAAGAAGGCAGAGCAGCACACAAGGCACUGCUAUUGCAGCAACAAGCAGCCAAACUAGCAGGUAUUUAUUUUUCAAUGUACACAAUUACUGGGGGAGAAUAAAAAUUAUUCUUUGACACUCUGACAGAGCCGUAAAAAGCUCUGUGCUUCCCCUACUCCCAUGGUCCUGACAAGAAACACCUCACCAAUUCUAAUAAAUAGAGAAUAGAAAUAAAUACUUUAACUACACAGCAUCAGGUUUCAAAUGGCUUCCUGAAUCAGAAAGUGCUGCUAGUCCAUCUUCCUUAUUUCCACACUCAGUAAUGGUGGCUCUCCAAAAGUCAAAGUGAGAUGGAUACUACAAGGAUCACAGACACUACACUGGGAAACCAAGUAUCAGUGGGGUACGUCCAGAUUUAUGGUAGGUGAUGGCAGUAAAGUGAAAGUAAAACUGUUUGCACAGUCUGUAUUGUUGGCCAUUACUGUGUAUUUGCCCUUUUUUCUUGCUUAGCUGCAGCUGGAAGAAUGGAAAAUUGUACCUUCUAUACAGUAUUAGAAAACACUUUCUGAUCAUAAGGUCAAUCAGAUUGGUUUAGCUGCUUGAGGUAUUUAUGGCACCAUCACUCAGUGUCUUUAAGGAAAGGUUAGAUACAUUUAUGGGAAAGGUAUUUUGCAGAAGCUUUCCUGCUUCAUAGAGGUCUUGGACAAAAUGACCCAGGAGGCCCCUUCCAAGUCUAUCAAGUGUGGUUCCCUGAUUGAUGCUGUUUUCCCCCAAAGUCUUUUCAAAACACAAAGCACUGUUAUAAAAUUUAAUAUGAUACACUAUAUAACUUUAACACAAUGCCAUUUUCUUAAAGGAAAUGGUUAGCUGGUAGCACAGGAGCCUCGUGCAAGAGGAAAAAAUGUAGAAAAAAAGAAAUUGCAGUGCAGUUUCUCUGCUGAGGGAUAUCGACUAUAACAUUUACUCUGUGUCUGAGCAUGGACUCUUAGCUGUGCAGGGGGACACCAAGCCAGGAAAGUAUAUAAGGAACCCAGGCUGUGGAAUUUAUUUCUCCAGAAAAGCCCGACAAGGCCUGAGGUAAUUUUCUAUGCUGUGCAAUAAUCAUUCCCUCAAUGCUGGGAAGCAAAUGGACACCCAGCUCUCCUUGUAAAUCACUGCCUGGUGCUGUAUCAGCUGGGCCUGGGGCAGAGCUGCCUGGGGACCAGGAGAGUCCCAGCCCUCCUGCACAGGCACAGGCACAGGGCCGGAGCUCAGGUGUGUCCUGCACCACCUGCACCAGCGAGAAGAGCCCGUCUGUAACUCACGGCUCUGGCCUGUCCUGCUGCCAUCCCAGCUGCACCAUGGAGCAGGCGGAGCAAAUCCCUGAAAAUGGCGAGCGCCAAAAGCUGCACUUUGGAAAAAGGGCAGCACCACCCCUGGUAAUGUGUUUGUCUGAUGACUAAAGAAUGAGCAAGAGAGCUUGGGCCAUAUUUCUCUUGUCUGAAUACAAGAUUGAUUGUCAGGCAGAAUCCUCUCCAGGUCUUCUGUGUUUCCACCAAACCAUUCAGUAAAAUGAUAAUAUUCUUCUCCCUACUAUACUUACUUGUUUUGUUGUGUUUUAAUUUGCUGAAUGUUUCCUAUAUUGACUUUUAUUUUUCCUUUGAAACAGUUAACAUUUAAAAAUUAAAGUCAUGUAAUUAUUUAAAAAAAACAACCAACAAGAAAAACCCAACCAGAUCCUCUGGACCAUCUGGUUGAAAUGCUCUGGGUCAGCCUCCACUAAUCUCUAGUCAGUUUUAAUUUUAGAUUUUCAUAGGAAAAAAAAGAAGGAAGAAACCCCAGAAUUUUAUUGAAUUGGAGUUUACUCUCAAAAUCAUUUUAUACUAACCUUUUUAUUUUCACUCCAACUAAUUUAGUUAAAGGCCAAACUCUUCUUCCAAAAAUCAGCUCCCAGCCCCCAUCUUCUUGGGAUAGCCCUAACAGGAAAUAACAACAUCUAUAUACAGACACUCUGAAGCCUUUUGAAGUCUCACAAAUGUGAGCUGUUCCCUUUUGCAGAGCAGGCUGGGAUUAACUCUUUUAUUAACCUUAUAACCUCAUCCAUGAAAAAAAAUAAUAGCCAAUCCCUUUUAUUUUGUUUCUUUUAAAAUCUGGAUGCAUGCUGCCUUCUCUACCCAAACAUUUGUGAGCUCACCCUACAGAGAGGAGCAAAAAAAGCCCAUGGAAAGCCCCCUCUCCCUGUGGAGCUCCCCAAAGCCCCUCUUGCCCCUCCCAUUAUGUUGCACUCAGUGUCAAAGUUUGUGUUUUCACUGGAAGAUAUUUUUGCUUUACAGGAGGCUUGUGUCUCUGUAUUGGUGGGAGCAAAUAACAACCUUUUGGUCCUUUUCAACACAUUACAUCAAUGCAUUUUCCUGAUUCCCAUGACAAAAAAGGAUCUUUUAGCAGAAUGAAAAAUCUGACCUGGGUGUAAUCCUGACAGCGCUCCAAUUGCUCAUCCUUAGCUUCAUCCCUGCACUGCAGUGCAGAAUAAGAGGCUCACACUGGAAUAGCUCUUCUCACCAGAGUCAAAAUGGUAAAAAUUUGCUCACAGAGUGACACGAGCAGGAAUUUCAAAGGAAAAUUUAUCUCCUGCUCUUUGUCUUACAAUAUGGUGCACUGUGGUGGCUGGAAGAUUUAACUUCCAAGCAUCCCAUCUAUAUAAAUCCUACUGGAAAACAAUUUUUUAGGGUGCUUAGCUCAGCAGCUGGAAUCUGCCAGGGAAUGAUUGCCAAGAUAAGGAUGGAGAAAAACUUUUCUGUAGCCUUCAGGUGUUGGUCGAGGGUCAGGAUUAGGGAAUAGCUCUCAGCUUUGGCUCUCAGAGCUCCGUGUGUUGCACGAGGUCACGGCUCACUGGUGUAAGGACCAGGGGUUUGGGCCAGUCCUGCCUCUGCCCUGCUCAGCUCGGCCCAUUAACUCCUCUGGUGAUACAGCCCCUCUUGGGUUUUCUGCUUUUCAAAGAUUUACACUUGGUUUAAAUCUCAAUCAAAAGCUCCACUUGAGAUUUUGGGAGGCCAAGACACUUAAAAAUCUCCAAUGGGAAGGGCAAGUGAGGAAGGCAGAAUAUCUCUCCCUUGCAAAGGCAUUCAAAUACCACUUGGAUGAGGAGUUUCCAUCUACUUUGCUGGAUAAACAGACAUCACAGUUCUAAUGUGCAGGGGUGCCCUUCACACCAACAGGCAGAGAAAAGAUGCAAUGGGAAGAGUAAGAGGCACCAGAAUAAAAAAAGGCAGGAUCCAACUGAAAUUUUACCUUUGAUCUUUGAAAAUGGGAAAACCCAUUCGGGAUCAGGAAUUUCCAGACUGGGCUGUAUGCACCAUUAAUUGUUUUCCAUGAAGCAGAGCUGGUCUGCUAUUGUUGCAUCCUCCAAAAACAGCUGUUACUAUGAGCUCUAUGGGAUUCAGGAACUCCACUUCCCAGUUUUCACUUAGUACUUCAGUGAUCAUAUAUAAAUAAUAGUAAUGAUAAUUAUAACAAUACCUGGCUUGCCAUUAUGUUGUACUCAGUCUUUGUGAUGCUCUCUCAUAAUAAAAUCUGUGUAUUAAACACUUUAACUGAAACUCUUAAUAAAACAGUGAUAUUUUUACUUGUGCUGUUAUAUUCACAUAAUGACCACAAAGCACUUUACAGAAUCAAAUGGAAGUCGCCAGUCUGAUCCUUCUAUAGAGCAUUUUGUGCAUCUCAGCAGUGCGUAACAAAGCUGCUGUAUAGACAAGUAACUGUCAAACAUACCACAUUUUGGGGUUUGUCCUGGCUGAGCAGCAUCCAAAAGCCUGGGGUUUGUCCUUCAGAUUGGUGUGAAAGUCUGUAAAGCCACCACAAAUUACACAACAAGAGGAACUGGACGGUCUCACCAACUACACAAGAACAAGCUGUGAUGUCUCAUUAUCAAGGUCCCUGGGUCAGAAAGAAGAAAAAAAGGUUAUAAUUUUCCUGGUUUAGGAAAAAAGCCAUGGAAGUCUUGGAGCUGAGUACUGAGCAGCCUCCAUGGGGUCACUGCAAGGGGCCAAGGCAAAUGCUGGCCCUGCAAAUGCUCGUGGUAAAUGGUGCCUUCCAAGGUUUGAGAGGGUCUCCAGCUUUGGGCCUUGUACCAGGUACUUCUGGAGCUGUGAGACAGUGACAGGCUUUGUUCCCUCGUGUAUAAUUGAUAAAUUACCAUUGUGAGUACUAAACAAUACAACUGAGCACAGAAUGGAAACACGCUAAUGCUUUAUCCAGCUCCAGCAAUUCUGCUCGUGUGCUCACACUGUUCUUAAAUGUGCUAGGUAUUUGUUUGAUGAAACAAUAAGUUUUAGAAAAGAGAAAAAUAAGAACUUCAAAGAUAAUAAAAACCUUGACUACAUACUUUACCACAGGAAGCUGUGAAUAAGCUUCAGUACUCUUUAUUUUUAACAUUCCAGAUAUGUAAUUUAGCACAGGUCUAAUGACAGUCUCGAACAUACUGCUUUAAUCGAAAUUUUUCAAGCUCUGUUCUGUGACAAGGGCUCACAAGAUACCAGCAGGGUUGUCCAUUUCCCCACUUCUGUAGGGAAAAGAAAAGGGAAGGGAGGGGGACACUCUUGAACUUAUGUUGCUAUUGAUGUGUAAUACACAAUAAAAAAACAGUUAAAUUUCAAUUACCCACAGGUAAUUAUAAUUUUAUUGUUUGACUGUACUAUGGGGAAUUUUGUAAUUCCCAAGACUAAUAAUUUUCUAUAAUUUUACAGGUUGUCAAAUAAACUAUUAAAGAUUAUCUUUGAAAAG